AACGAACGCUGGCGGCAGGCUUAACACAUGCAAGUCGAACGCGUGUAGCAAUACACGAGUGGCGCACGGGUGAGUAACGCGUGGAUAUCUGCCUUUUGGUUCGGAAUAACCCCGGGAAACUGGGGCUAAUACCGGAUGGUUCCUUCGGGAUAAAGAUUUAUCGCCAAAAGAUGAGUCCGCGUCCGAUUAGCUAGUUGGUGAGGUAAUGGCUCACCAAGGCGACGAUCGGUAGCUGGCUGAGAGGACGAUCAGCCACACUGGGACUGAGACACGGCCCAGACUCCUACGGGAGGCAGCAGUGGGGAAUAUUGGACAAUGGGGGCAACCCUGAUCCAGCCAUGCCGCGUGAGUGAUGAAGGCC
RNAcentral lists this ribosomal RNA (361 nucleotides) under uncultured bacterium. RNAcentral describes it as "bacterial SSU rRNA". It matches the Rfam family "Bacterial small subunit ribosomal RNA", at positions 29 to 416 of the family's 1533-position model. The record is from RNAcentral.